This 878-nucleotide ribosomal RNA is filed under the name uncultured fungus. Its description in RNAcentral is "eukaryotic LSU rRNA". It matches the Rfam family "Eukaryotic large subunit ribosomal RNA", at positions 24 to 664 of the family's 3401-position model. The record is from RNAcentral. Lineage: Eukaryota; Fungi.
CCCGCUGAACUUAAGCAUAUCAGUAAGCGGAGGAAAAGAAACCAACAGGGAUUCCCUUAGUAACGGCGAGUGAAGCGGGAAUAGCACAAAUUUAAAAUCGGGUCGAACAAAAGAGUAUCGGUCCCGACGUGUAAUUUGAAGAGUCAUCGGCGGCAGAGGCCCAGGCUUAAAGUCCUCUGGAAAGGGGCACCAAGGAGGGUGAUAGUCCCGUUAAUAGCCUGCGAUUAGUCUACUGUCCAACUAAGCGAUGAACUCGAAAGAGUCGGGUUGUUUGGGAGUGCAGCCCUAAAUGGGUGGUAAAUUCCAUCUAAGGCUAAAUAUACGCGAGAGACCGAUAGCGAACAAGUACCGUGAGGGAAAGUUGAAAAGUACUCUGAAGAGAGGGUCAAACAGUGCGUGAAAUUGCUAACAGGGAAACGUUGGGCACCAGUGCACAUUUGAGUAGAAUCAGCCGUUGGGGAUAGUGUAGCUUGACUUGGAAGGCGGAGCUGUUAAGGCCUGCCCUGGGUUAAGGAACGUAUACUAGUCAAUGGUGCAAUUUUACGACAAGUGGGUCAACUUUGGUUAAGGAGAGUGAUAGACUAAGGGAUAGGAAGGUAGGACAAUCGUUAGUGAGUGGUGUGGUUAACACACUGCACACUAUGAUGUCUGUUAUAGCCUAACCAAGUUACAUGAUUCUUAUGACCAAGGAAAUAAGUGCGCGGACCGUGUCUAACACACUUGUGUGUAAGGCAGGGAAGUGAUAAGGGAUGAGUAUUUGACUUUAAUUGACAGCAUAGCUGACAAAGAGAGUUAUAAAAAUCAGACUUUGUUACUGACCCUAACGGACCAAGGACAGUUGACAAAAUGGAUGCUUAACGACCCGUCUUGAAACACGG